GGUCCCGUCGUCUAGCUGGCCUAGGACGCGGCCCUCUCAAGGCUGAAACGGGAGUUCGAAUCUCCUCGGGACUA
Molecule: transfer RNA, 74 nt
Filed under: Euzebya pacifica
Lineage: Bacteria; Bacillati; Actinomycetota; Nitriliruptoria; Euzebyales; Euzebyaceae
Also listed under: 1 other name
Rfam family: tRNA
About the family: Transfer RNA (tRNA) molecules are approximately 80 nucleotides in length. Their secondary structure includes four short double-helical elements and three loops (D, anti-codon, and T loops).
Source: Rfam by way of RNAcentral